AUGCUGCUGCUACUGAUAAUCGUUGCCUUUGUGUCUGAUGCAGAACUUAGAAAGAGUGACUCGGCGGCCGACAACUCUCAACUGAAGAUGGAGAUCUUUGUCAAGAUCCAGUCUACAAAUCUUCGCAUAAAAAGAAAGAUUCACUGUUUAAAGACAGUCAUUCUUGAGGUCAAGGGAUCAGAUACAAUCUGGGAUGUCAAGGAUAAGAUUCGAGACAAGGAGGGCAUCCCUGUAGGCCAGCAGAGACUCAUAUUUGGCAGUAAGCUGCUGGUGGGCAGCUGCACCCUGGAGGACUACAGCAUCGUGGAGGAGUCCGCCCUCACCCUUGAUCUUGUGCAUAUCUUUGUCAGGCCACUGACUGACAGGAUCAUGACUAUUGAUGUUGACAGAGAGGAUACCAUAAGCAGUGUGAAGGCAAUGAUUUUCGAGAAAAACGGCAUUCCCCCCCGCAGACAGCGUCUCUGCUUUGCAGGGAAGCAGCUGGAGGAUGGCCUCACCUUGGCUGACUACGACGUGUACAAUGAAUCUACCCUUUUUCUUGUGGUGCGCCUCCACAAGUGUGAGGGAGGUCGGAUGCACAUCAACAUCAUGGUCAAGACACUGAAUGACAAGAUCAUUACUACUGAGGUUGAGUAA
Molecule: ribosomal RNA, 636 nt
Filed under: Triticum aestivum (bread wheat)
Lineage: Eukaryota; Viridiplantae; Streptophyta; Magnoliopsida; Poales; Poaceae
Description: partial small subunit ribosomal RNA
Source: RNAcentral